GCCGGAGCCAGAGCCAGAGCCUACGAGAGCCGGAGCCAGAGCUCGAGCUAACAACUACAACUAAAUGCAUUUUGAUGUUCCGAGACGUAUGGGACAUCGUUGAAGAAAAAACAUGCACAUUCGAGGCAAGUGCAAGUGUUUCGACGGGAGAAUACAAGGGAUCAUGGAACAAAGACGACAUAAAAGGUAUGGGACAAACUACAAGAAAAUUUCAAGGUAUGUCCGAUACUUUACAACACAAGUCUGGAUUAUCCCGAAAAUGGAUCAAGGGGGAGUGUUGGAAAUUGGUGAUCCAUUUUCAACAAAAUCUAGAAGUUACUAGCUUAAUGGAGAAUGAACUUGAAGACACGUGAAGAAGCCUCAAGCUGAUCAAGAAAAGGAAGGGGCAAACAAUAAAAUAAUAUUAUAGUAGUUGCUGGAGUUUUCAAGAGAACAAGCUCUACGUGCAUGGGAAAUUUGUGCAUGGGAAAUCUUGAAUGAAAGUCAACAAUGGCUGAAAAAACAAAAACCAUUUUUUUUUUUUUUUUAAAAACAGAACUUUUAUUAUGAAAGUAAGUAUUACAAAGGAAGGAGUUUAAUAAAUUUUGUGAAGAUAAAGGAAUUUUCAUCUCGCAAAAGAAAUAUACCGAAAACCUCCUAAAGAAAAUUUCAAGGUAUGUCCGAUACUUUACAACAGAAG
Molecule: long non-coding RNA, 679 nt
Filed under: Eucalyptus grandis
Lineage: Eukaryota; Viridiplantae; Streptophyta; Magnoliopsida; Myrtales; Myrtaceae
Description: long non-coding RNA (EGRA_LNC005583)
Source: RNAcentral